RNAcentral lists this ribosomal RNA (753 nucleotides) under Lactobacillus sp. RNAcentral's name for it is "bacterial SSU rRNA". It matches the Rfam family "Bacterial small subunit ribosomal RNA", at positions 51 to 759 of the family's 1533-position model. Lineage: Bacteria; Bacillati; Bacillota; Bacilli; Lactobacillales; Lactobacillaceae. The record is from RNAcentral.
AUACAUGCAAGUCGAACGAGCUGCGCCUAAUGAUAGUUGAUGCUUGCAUUAACUUGACUUAAGUUAGCAGCGAGUGGCGAACUGGUGAGUAACACGUGGAUAACCUGCCCAGAAGAAGGGGAUAACACCUGGAAACAGAUGCUAAUACCGUAUAACAACGAAAACCACAUGGUUUUCGUUUGAAAGAUGGCCUUUGUGCUAUCGCUUUUGGAUGGAUCCGCGGCGCAUUAGCUAGUUGGUGAGAUAAAGGCUCACCAAGGCAAUGAUGCGUAGCCGACCUGAGAGGGUAAUCGGCCACAUUGGGACUGAGACACGGCCCAGACUCCUACGGGAGGCAGCAGUAGGGAAUCUUCCACAAUGGACGAAAGUCUGAUGGAGCAAUGCCGCGUGAGUGAAGAAGGGUUUCGGCUCGUAAAACUCUGUUGUUAGAGAAGAACGGGCGUGAGAGUAACUGCUCACGUCGCGACGGUAUCUAACCAGAAAGUCACGGCUAACUACGUGCCAGCAGCCGCGGUAAUACGUAGGUGGCAAGCGUUGUCCGGAUUUAUUGGGCGUAAAGCGAGCGCAGGCGGUCUUCUAAGUCUGAUGUGAAAGCCUUCGGCUUAACCGGAGAAGUGCAUCGGAAACUGGGAAACUUGAGUGCAGAAGAGGACAGUGGAACUCCAUGUGUAGCGGUGAAAUGCGUAGAUAUAUGGAGGAACACCAGUGGCGAAGGCGGCUGUCUAGUCUGUAACUGACGCUGAGGCUCGAAAG